Molecule: ribosomal RNA, 603 nt
Filed under: Triticum aestivum (bread wheat)
Lineage: Eukaryota; Viridiplantae; Streptophyta; Magnoliopsida; Poales; Poaceae
Description: partial small subunit ribosomal RNA
Source: RNAcentral
AUGGGCUCCACCCAGGAUCUCCACCCCUCCGUCGUUCCACAGCCGGCGGUGGAAGCCCGACGGCGGUACUCACGCUGUGAAUGCUGCUGGCUAUGGUGCGUGGGGCUGGCGGCCAUGGCCGCCGUGUGCUUCUUCCUGGACCAGACCCAGGGGAUGACGCCCUACUUCUCCAUCGCCAUCAACUCCGUCUCGGGGCUCGACCCCGCGACGGACCUCGGUCGCCGGUCCGCGGUAGAUCCGGAGUUCAACCUCACUUUGCGUGUCGCCUCGCACAAACUCUGGGCCAGCGAGUGCGCCAAGCCCGACAUGUACGUCGACGUGUUCUACCGCGGCAUCUUCCUGGCUGCCAGCGUGACCACGGCGGAAGAGAUCUGCGCCAGGCCGAAGAAAGCAGUGGAUCGCCCUGUCAUCGCGAGGGGCAUCGGGGUGGUCGUGCCCGGACCCAUGCUGGAUAGCCUCGCCGGGGACAUGCGUCGAGGAGUUCAAGCGUUCGACGUCAUGCUCCAUGGCAGCAACGCCAAGCACUCGCACUGGUCGUGGUAUUGCGGGGCAAGGCGUGUCGGGGAUGCUGGUGCCUUACGAGCAGACUGCGUCUCCGACUAG